UUAUUUGACUAGAUGACUGGUUUAAUUGUGACCGUCAAAAGUUAGUUUGCUGCUGUGUCUAAAACAUGCAAUAUUUCUUUAGAUUGUUGCUGUUUUCCCUGUUGGCCACUGGAUUGGCUCAAGCUAAUGCUGAUAAUGCUGGUUCUGCAAAGAAAUAUGGGGAUAAUGAAGUCCUGGGUCCUUAUCACUCAUCUAGUGAACCUCGCUUUCCUGUUGCGCCUGGCUCCCCAAUAGGAGGCCCAGUGGGUCCCAGGUCCCUACCUCAUGGGCUUAAAUUACCCUAUAAAACAAUGCCUCCCCAGCACCAGCAGGACUCUGGACAUCCUCCUGUGGGCCCAAAGCCUGCUCAGCAGCAGUAUCCAGGUCACCCUCCUUUGGGUCCAAAACCUCCCCAUCCGCACCACCAGUAUCCAGGUCAUCCUCCCUUGGGUCCAAAACCUCUG
Long non-coding RNA from Nematolebias whitei (Rio pearlfish), 443 nucleotides. RefSeq lists it as uncharacterized. The record is from RefSeq and is a predicted model, not a curated record. NCBI's taxonomy places the organism in Eukaryota, Metazoa, Chordata, Actinopteri, Cyprinodontiformes, Rivulidae. The transcript has 3 exons.